AUGGUUCUUAGAGCGUUGAUUAGUCCAGCUUUAGUGCAAUGGAGCUUCCUGGUAUGCGGCAGCCUGGGCUUUGUGCUUCUCUGGCAAGCUGCCAAGCUAAUAGACCGGCUGUGGUGGCACCCGCGGCGGCUGGAGCGGGCACUGCGCGCCGAGGGUCUCCGCGGCACCUCGUACCGCUUCCUCGUCGGCGACGUCAUUGACUAUGAGCGGCGGAGCAAGGAGGCGCGUUCAAGGUCGAUGCCGCUGCGCUGCCACAACAUAGCCCCUCUCGUCGCGCCGCUGCUCCACGACAUUGUCCGGGAGCACGGCAAGGCGUGCAUAUGUUGGUUUGGUCCGUACCCCAAGGUGACCAUCAGCGACCCUGAGCAGACCAAGGAGGUGAUGUCCAACAAGUUCGGCCACUUCGAGAAGCUCAAGUUUCCGGCGCUGUCCAGGCUGCUCGCCGGAGGCGUGGCGACGUACGAGGGCGAGCAAUGGGUCAAGCACAGGAGGAUCCUCAACCCUGCAUUCCAUCUCGAGAAGCUUAAGCUCAUGAUGCCAGCGUUUUCUACUUGCUGCCAAGAACUUGUGAGCAGAUGGACGCAAUCUCUUGGUUCUGAUGGUACAUAUGAGGUGGAUGUAUGUCCGGAGUUCCAGAGACUCACUGGAGAUGUCAUUUCUCGCACCGCAUUUGGCAGUAACUACGCUGAAGGUGCCAGGAUAUUCCAGUUGCAGUCCGAGCAAACUGCACGCAUCCUGGCCAGGGUUAAGAAGAUUAUCAUUCCCGGCUACUUGUCCUUGCCAACCAGAAACAAUAGAAGGAUGAGUGAAAUUAAUAACGAAAUUGAAUCAAUUCUGCUCAAUCUAAUCGGAGAAAGAAUGCAAGCUAUGCAAGAAGGAGAAAAUACCAAAAAUGACUUGCUCGGUUUGAUGCUUGAGUCCAACAUGAGGGGCACAGAUGAGAAUGGCCAAUGCAUCUCAGGAAUGACUAUUGAUGAGGUCGUGGAGGAAUGCAAGUUGUUCUAUUUUGCAGGAACAGAAACAACAUCAAUAUUACUCACAUGGACAAUGGUCAUACUAAGUAUGCACCCCGAGUGGCAAGAUCGUGCAAGGGAGGAGGUCCUCGGCCUAUUUGGAAAGAAUAAAAUUGAGUACGAAGGCUUUGGCCGGCUAAAAACGGUGACCAUGAUUCUUUAUGAGGUGCUCCGAUUAUACCCACCGGCUGUCGCUUUCAUCCGAAAAACAUACAACGAAAUGGAGAUUGGAGGUAUCACAUACCCUGCUGGUGUGCUCAUCGAGCUUCCUGUGUUGUUAAUGCACCAUGACCUAGACAUAUGGGGAAGCGACGUGCAUGAGUUCAAACCGGAGAGGUUUGCCGACGGGAUAUCCAAGGCAUCCAAGAAUCCAUGUGCGUUCCUACCAUUUGGUUGGGGGCCACGUAUUUGCAUUGGCCAACAGUUUGCAAUGCUUGAGGCCAAGAUUUCCUUGUGCAUGAUCCUUCAAUGCUUUGAGUUCGAGCUUGCGCCGUCAUACACUCAUGCUCUAGAUAACACGAAAAUGCUACUUCCUAUGCAUGGUGCGCAAAUUAAGCUCAGGGUAAUUUAA
RNAcentral lists this ribosomal RNA (1584 nucleotides) under Triticum aestivum (bread wheat). Its description in RNAcentral is "partial small subunit ribosomal RNA". Lineage: Eukaryota; Viridiplantae; Streptophyta; Magnoliopsida; Poales; Poaceae. The record is from RNAcentral.